UUGCAUGGAAUAAUGGAAUAGGACUUCGGUUCUAUUUUGUUGGUUUUCGGAUCCGAAGUAAUGGUUAAGAGGGACAGACGGGGGCAUUUGUAUGGCGGUGUGAGAGGUGAAAUUCUGGGAUCGCCGCCAGACAAACUACAGCGAAAGCAUUUGCCAAGAAUGUUUUCAUUGAUCAGGAGCGAAAGUCAGAGUUUCGAAGACGAUCAGAUACCGUCGUAGUUCUGACCAUAAACGAUGCCAACUGACGAUCCGCGGCGGCACUUAUAUUGGCUCCGCGGGCAGUCCCCGGGAAACCUUUAAGUCUUUGGGCUCCGGGGGAAGUAUGGUUGCAAAGCUGAAACUUAAAGGAAUUGACGGAAGGGCACCACCAGGAGUGGAGCCUGCGGCCUAAUUCGACUCAACACGGGAAAACUCACCCGGCCCGGACACUGUGAGGAUUGACAGAUUGAGAGCUCUUUCUUGAUUCGGUGGUUGGUGGUGCAUGGCCGUUCUUAGUUGGUGGAGCGAUUUGUCUGGUUAAUUCCGAUAACGAACGAGACUUUGACCUACUAAAUAGUACGCUCGUCCUCUGUGCGCGUAUAGACUGCGGCUUGCAUUGCUUAUCCAAGUGAUGUGGUCGUGGGUCAGCGUGUACGGUGCGGGUGUUACUUCUUAGAGGGACAAGCGGCGUUCAACCAGUCGCACGAAAUUGAGCAAUAACAGGUCUGUGAUGCCCUUAGAUGUCCGGGGCCGCACGUGCGCUACAAUGACGGUGCCAGCGAGUCUGGAAACCUUACCCGAAAGGGUUGGGCAAGCUGUUCCAUCACCGUCGUGACUGGGAUCGGGGCUUGCAAUUAUUCCCCGUGAACGAGGAAUUCCUGGUAAGUGCAAGUCAUAAGCUUGCGCUGAUUACGUCCCUGCCCUUUGUACACACCGCCCGUCGCUACUACCGAUUGAAUGGUCCAGUGAAAUCAUUGGAUCGGUGCCAUU
This 969-nucleotide ribosomal RNA is filed under the name Odhneriotrema incommodum. Its description in RNAcentral is "SSU rRNA". It matches the Rfam family "Eukaryotic small subunit ribosomal RNA", at positions 805 to 1725 of the family's 1831-position model. Lineage: Eukaryota; Metazoa; Platyhelminthes; Trematoda; Strigeidida; Clinostomidae. The record is from RNAcentral.